GACGAACGCUGGCGGCGUGCUUAACACAUGCAAGUCGAACGGAAAGGCCCCUUUGGGGGUACUCGAGUGGCGAACGGGUGAGUAACACGUGGGUAACCUGCCCUUGACUUCGGGAUAACUUCAGGAAACUGGGGCUAAUACCGGAUAGGAAUCCUUGCUGCAUGGUGGGGGUUGGAAAGCUUCGGCGGUUUUGGAUGGACUCACGGCUUAUCAGCUUGUUGGUGGGGUAGUGGCUUACCAAGGCUUUGACGGGUAGCCGGCCUGAGAGGGCGACCGGCCACAUUGGGACUGAGAUACGGCCCAGACUCCUACGGGAGGCAGCAGUGGGGAAUAUUGCACAAUGGGCGGAAGCCUGAUGCAGCAACGCCGCGUGCGGGAUGACGGCCUUCGGGUUGUAAACCGCUUUCAGCAGGGGCGAAGCUUGUGGUGACGGUACCUGCAGAAGAAGCACCGGCUAACUACGUG
This 465-nucleotide ribosomal RNA is filed under the name uncultured bacterium. Its description in RNAcentral is "partial 16S ribosomal RNA". It matches the Rfam family "Bacterial small subunit ribosomal RNA", at positions 28 to 507 of the family's 1533-position model. The record is from RNAcentral.